Molecule: ribosomal RNA, 516 nt
Filed under: uncultured Acidobacteriota bacterium
Lineage: Bacteria; Pseudomonadati; Acidobacteriota
Description: bacterial SSU rRNA
Rfam family: Bacterial small subunit ribosomal RNA
Source: RNAcentral
GCAACGCCGCGUGGAGGAUGAAGGUCCUUGGAUUGUAAACUCCUGUCAGCGGGGAAAAAGCGACCUGGCCUAAGUACGCCGGGGGAGUUGAUUGUACCCGCAGAGGAAGCCCCGGCUAACUCUGUGCCAGCAGCCGCGGUAAUACAGAGGGGGCAAGCGUUAUCGGAAUUAUUGGGCGUAAAGGGCGCGUAGGCGGCCUUUCAAGUGACGGGUGAAAUCCCUCGGGCUUAACCGAGGAACUGCCUGUCAGACUGGAAGGCUUGAGACCGGGAGAGGUGAGUGGAAUUCCCAGUGUAGCGGUGAAAUGCGUAGAUAUUGGGAGGAACACCAGUGGCGAAGGCGGCUCACUGGACCGGUACUGACGCUGAGGCGCGAAAGCGUGGGGAGCAAACAGGAUUAGAUACCCUGGUAGUCCACGCCGUAAACGAUGAGUGCUUGGUGUAGCGGGUAUCGACCCCUGCUGUGCCGAAGUCAACACAUUAAGCACCCCGCCUGGGGAGUACGGUCGCAAGACUG